CAGAAUCUAAAGGAUAAAUCUAUACGUUAUUAAUCAAGCUAAAUACCCUUCCCCACUCUUACCUUAUUUCGAAUUCACAUAACCAACUCCUAAAGAUCACACAAACUAACCGUCAUUGACUAAGUCCUUCUAACUUUGUUCUCAUCAUUCAAAUUACGAAGUUGUAAUCUCCAUCAUUAUCUUUUCUUGAUUUUGAAAAGUCCAGCAAGUAUUAUCCAAAGAAAAAAAGAAAGAAAAAGAAUCUAAACUAAACUCUAUCAUUGAGUCUCAAACUAUACAGCCGUACUCUCCGCAACUUACUCAACUGAUUACCCAAAGUCCACCAAUCACAGUGGAUCCUUAACCCUAUGAGAUUAUCUUAUAAUCUAACUAUAAAUACCUCUUACUUGACUCCCUCGUCACAUUUGGCAAACCUCUUAUAACUCAAUUCAUCAGAGACGCAACUUUCAAAUUACCAAACCACACAUCGAUAACCGAAGCAAGUGUCGGCUCACGUUCGGCACAACCGAAUCACCAUCAACCUAUACCGAAAAUCACCGCGAAAAACACCAGCUCGUAGUCCUCACAUCCCUCUAUAUCCACAAUCUUCCAUCUCUAAAAACCGAUCAUAAACAAAGAGUACGUAGAGCGUGAAGAGACCUACUAGUGAUCGUUUUGUACAGUGAUUUGUGAAGCUAAACUUAAUAAGGUAUGCAUGGCACGUCAUGAGCGGCCGUUUCACAACAGUAGUAGCAAGUUAUUAAUAACGUAGAUCACCUAAAGACAAUCAGUUGGAUUUUAUUUAAUUCAGUUUGUAACUACAUUUUGGGUAGUUGGUUUAAGUUAUCUAAUUGUGACAAUGUUGGUUUAUUUAUAAAGGAUGGAUUGUUGAUGGAUAAUAUAGCCUUACAUUUGGGUUGUAACCUAAAUGUGGCGGUAAUACCCUUAA
Molecule: long non-coding RNA, 928 nt
Organism: Spinacia oleracea (spinach)
Lineage: Eukaryota; Viridiplantae; Streptophyta; Magnoliopsida; Caryophyllales; Amaranthaceae
Exons: 3
Source: RefSeq, a predicted model, not a curated record